CAGUAGGGUGCCAUCAGGAGGUGUAUUUGGAAAU
This 34-nucleotide ribosomal RNA is filed under the name Enterocytozoon bieneusi. RNAcentral's name for it is "partial large subunit ribosomal RNA". Lineage: Eukaryota; Fungi; Microsporidia; Enterocytozoonidae. The record is from RNAcentral.